CGCACCUUGCGCCACGUGGUAUUCCACGGGGCACGCCUGUUUGAGUGUCACGUAAACCCAUCGCGUCGUGGACUGUCAUGGUCUUCGGGGCGGAUUUGGAUGCUGCCGGAGCUCACGCUUCGGCUCAUCUCGAAAUGCAUUAGCUGUCUGACGACGCGCGCCGCUGGUGUGAUAAUUCCUUUGCGCCUUGGCAAGCAUCUGAAGUAAGCUCAUAAUCGUCCGCGAGGACAAUUUCUUAACGCUCUGGCCUCAAAUCAGGUGGGACUACCCGCUGAACUUAA
Molecule: unclassified non-coding RNA, 281 nt
Filed under: Mycenaceae sp.
Lineage: Eukaryota; Fungi; Basidiomycota; Agaricomycetes; Agaricales; Mycenaceae
Description: partial contains 5.8S ribosomal RNA, internal transcribed spacer 2, and large subunit ribosomal RNA
Source: RNAcentral